Molecule: ribosomal RNA, 406 nt
Filed under: uncultured bacterium
Lineage: Bacteria
Description: partial 16S ribosomal RNA
Rfam family: Bacterial small subunit ribosomal RNA
Source: RNAcentral
AUUGAACGCUGGCGGCAGGCCUAACACAUGCAAGUCGAGCGGAGCGGCGGACGGGUGAGUAAUGCCUAUGAAUCUGCCUGGUAGUGGGGGAUACCGUCCGGAAACGGGCGCUAAUACCGCAUACUAUCAGAUGCGCCUAGGUCGGAUUAGCUAGUUGGGGGGGGAAAGGCCUACCAAGGCGACGAUCCGUACCUGGUCUGAGAGGAUGAUCAGUCACAAUGGAACUGAGACACGGUCCAGGCUCCUAGGGGGGGCAGGAGUGGGGAAUUUUGGCAAAUGGGCGAAAGCCUGAGCCAGCCAUGCCGGGUGUAUGAAGAAGGCCUUGGGGUUGUAAAGUACUUUCAGCGGGGAGGCGUUACCCGCAGAAGAAGCACCGGCUAACUCCGUGCAAGCCGCCGCGGUAAUU